GACGUAGGGCGCGAGCGUUGUCCGGAUUUAUUGGGCGUAAAGAGCUCGUAGGCGGUUUGUCGCGUCGGAUGUGAAAUCCCAGGGCUUAACCCUGGGCCUGCAUUCGAUACGGGCAGACUAGAGUUCGGUAGGGGAGACUGGAAUUCCUGGUGUAGCGGUGAAAUGCGCAGAUAUCAGGAGGAACACCGGUGGCGAAGGCGGGUCUCUGGGCAGUAACUGACGCUGAGGAGCGAAAGCGUGGGGAGCGAACAGG
Molecule: ribosomal RNA, 253 nt
Filed under: uncultured bacterium
Lineage: Bacteria
Description: partial 16S ribosomal RNA
Rfam family: Bacterial small subunit ribosomal RNA
Source: RNAcentral